GAAUUAAGACAUCCGGGAUAAAUGACUCAGCUGAGCUCAAUGAAGCCAAAACAUGUGCGUCCAGGCUUAAUUGGUUGCACAAAGACCAAGCCAGGAUGAGCAGACACGGAUUCAUUAAGCCAGGUGAAACCAAUCCUGGAUAGGUGCGCGCUCACGGCUCACUCAAAUAGACCCCGCCACAGAUCACAGAUUAACUGAUUUACCAUGGCAACUAGAGCCGCGUACUUUUCCCCGUCGGAAGCACAAAUCCUCAUGGAGGCAUACGAGGAGGUAAAAGAUAUAAUUAAGAAGAAAGGCAACACCGCCACAGUGAUAAAGCAAAGAGAAAAGCGUGGCAAAGUAUUGCAGACCGCCUGAAUGCGUAAGUAGUGCACAAUUACACACUCACCGCUCCGCUGAAACAUCACAAUUACAAUUCAAAUAUUUAAUUCACAUCUCCAAAAAUGCAGUUGUACUGUAAUUAUGAAACGGUUAAAUUUUUAAUUGAAAUGCACUGCAGAUAUGAGUGAAAUUGUGUAAAGUAACUCCAUCACACUGUAUAAAGCUAUGAUACAUUUUUUGAUAUUUUUACUGAAAACAAGACAAAAAUACCAAGUAAUUUUUUGCAGUGUGACUCCAUUAAAUGUGUGUGUGUGUGUGUGUGUGUGUGUGUGUGUAGAUUAAACAUGAACGGGCCAAAACGGACAUGGCAGCAGGUCAAAAUCAAAUACAAGAACAUUCUGCAGAAUGCAGUGAAAAAGAAUACCCACAGACAAGGCACGGGUGGUGGGUCACCAAAGGCUGACCUUACCCCAGCAGAGGACAUGGCCUUGGAGCUAAAUAAAGGCAGGCCCGUCUUAGAGGGGAUCCCUGGGGGGAAAGAGACGAGCAUAGGUUCCUCCCAAGAUGCCACCCGCUUCAUUCAAGUGCCUGGCAGCACUGUGUUCCUGUUAGAGCCACCAGCACAAGCACCAGACGAUGCUGAUCCAGUGAGUACUCCAUCAAAGGCAUACUGUAGGCCUGGCAUGUCUUGUCUACUAGCUUCAAUAUGAAUCCGAUUAAAUGUGAUUGGGUGAAGGCCCCAGUGCAGCAGCAACAGCACAUGAUGGAGACGAUGAUGAGGAGGAGACCAUCUCUCUGGAUUCCAGAAGGCAUGAGGUAUCAUGUUAAGUCUGUGAAAGUACUAUUUACUCUACAAUGGUGAGGAGUCCUCAUCAAAAUCAAAAAAUCUAAUUUCUUUUACAGGACCCAGAUGCUAUACAGUGGGAAAACCAGCCUGGCAACAUAGUGCGUAUUAAUAAAAGGACACCACAUCCUGCCAAAUUCCAGCUGCGCUAAUUGUAUUGUGUUCACAGAGCUCACAAGCUAUCAGAAAGUUGUAUGGCAACCACCUCCGGCGCCAAAUAGAACUGGCAGACAUAGACAUUCAGUACAAGAAGAAAAAGAUGGAAAAUCUUGCACUGGAGUCCGAAAUAAAAAAGAGGACAAUUAGGAAACUGGACCUUGAAAUAAAAAAACUUGAGAGGGAAGUGAGAUAUGCCUUCAAUGUACACUGUAUGCUAACUGUAAC
Oncorhynchus nerka (sockeye salmon) is the source of this 1549-nucleotide long non-coding RNA. RefSeq lists it as uncharacterized. NCBI's taxonomy places the organism in Eukaryota, Metazoa, Chordata, Actinopteri, Salmoniformes, Salmonidae. The transcript has 3 exons. The record is from RefSeq and is a predicted model, not a curated record.